GGCUACACACGUGCUACAAUGGGUAGUACAGAGAGUCGCAAAGCCGCGAGGUGGAGCUAAUCUCAGAAAACUAUUCUUAGUUCGGAUUGUACUCUGCAACUCGAGUACAUGAAGUUGGAAUCGCUAGUAAUCGCAAAUCAGCAAUGUUGCGGUGAAUACGUUCUCGGGUCUUGUACACACCGCCCGUCACACCACGAGAGUUGGUUGCACCUGAAGUAGCAGGCCUAACCGCAAGGAGGGAUGCUCCGAGGGUGUGAUUAGCGAUUGGGGUGAAGUCGUAACAAGGUAUCCGUACGGGAACGU
RNAcentral lists this ribosomal RNA (303 nucleotides) under uncultured Fusobacterium sp. RNAcentral's name for it is "bacterial SSU rRNA". It matches the Rfam family "Bacterial small subunit ribosomal RNA", at positions 1212 to 1513 of the family's 1533-position model. The record is from RNAcentral. Lineage: Bacteria; Fusobacteriati; Fusobacteriota; Fusobacteriia; Fusobacteriales; Fusobacteriaceae.